AAUUGUACCCAAUACAACGUUU
RNAcentral lists this microRNA (22 nucleotides) under Sarcophilus harrisii (Tasmanian devil). Its description in RNAcentral is "Sha-Mir-7371-P39_5p (mature (guide))". The record is from RNAcentral. Lineage: Eukaryota; Metazoa; Chordata; Mammalia; Dasyuromorphia; Dasyuridae.